Molecule: ribosomal RNA, 243 nt
Filed under: Triticum aestivum (bread wheat)
Lineage: Eukaryota; Viridiplantae; Streptophyta; Magnoliopsida; Poales; Poaceae
Description: partial small subunit ribosomal RNA
Source: RNAcentral
AUGUAUCCACUGGCAUGGGCUGUUGUUGAAAAGUAAACAAAUGAAAGCUGGAAGUGGUUCAUUGGCUUGCUUAUUAAAGAUCUUGACAUUAAUAACAAUGGAGCUGGAUGAGUGUUCAUUUCAGAUCAACAGAAGGGACUGACUAAUGCUACAAAGGACUAUCUGCCAAAUGCAGAGCACAAAAUGUGUGCUAGGCAUAUCUAUGCCAACUGGAGAAAGAAGCAUAGGGCACAUGAGUGGUAG